AUUUCCUGGUUUCUGUGAGUUCUGAUAACCCUUAUGUUUGCAUUUUGGGUGGUUUCCCAUCCCCUUAGGUUUGUGUCUUUUUUUAAAAAAAAACUGACUUCUGCUUUUCAUGUCAUUUUUGAGCUGACUUUCACUGAGAGAGGCUCUUGGCCACACUGCUCGUUGUUUUUUUUCCCUAAUCAUGGCUGAACAUCAACUCCUUUUCCCCCCCGCCUUUGAAGAUUUUGGACCUGAAUACUCGCUAUCAGCUUGCACACCUCUCUGUGGAUUUGGCCCUCCUGGUUGAGGUUCUCUGUACUCCCUCUGACCUUUCUGGGUUUCCACCACCCUUGAGAUACAGGAUCAGUCCAGCUAAGGUGUAUGCGGAUGCUUCCACUCAAACUGAUCCCUGCCUGGUUAUCUUACCUGACAAUUCACCUGACCAUCAUGCUGAUGAUGACAUGACCUAUUCUGAUCCUGACUCUGUUCCCUUUUCCCCCAGUAGCCCUGGCUACACUCCUCCUUACCUGUCAGCACGUUCUGGUUCUUCCCCUGGUCACACGCCUUAUUAGCCCUUUUCACCUCUCAACUACUCUCCCACCAGUCCUGUUUGCUCUCAAUAAAAUCAAUUAUUUUUUCGUA
This is a long non-coding RNA of Ictalurus punctatus (channel catfish), 621 nucleotides long. Lineage: Eukaryota; Metazoa; Chordata; Actinopteri; Siluriformes; Ictaluridae. The record is from Ensembl.